GAUGAACGCUGGCGGCGUGCCUAAUACAUGCAAGUCGAGCGAACGGACGAGAAGCUUGCUUCUCUGAUGUUAGCGGCGGACGGGUGAGUAACACGUGGAUAACCUACCUAUAAGACUGGGAUAACUUCGGGAAACCGUAGCUAAUACCGGAUAAUAUUUUGAACCGCAUGGUUCAAAAGUGAAAGACGGUCUUGCUGUCACUUAUAGAUAGAUCCGCGCUGCAUUAGCUAGUUGGUAAGGUAACGGCUUACCAAGGCAACGAUGCAUAGCCGACCUGAGAGGGUGAUCGGUCACACUGGAACUGAGACACGGUCCAGACUCCUACGGGAGGCAGCAGUAGGGAAUCUUCCGCAAUGGGCGAAAGCCUGACGGAGCAACGCCGCGUGAGUGAUGAAGGUCUUCGGAUCGUAAAACUCUGUUAUUAGGGAAGAACAUAUGUGUAAGUAACUGUGCACAUCUUGACGGUACCUAAUCAGAAAGCCACGGCUAACUACGUG
This 497-nucleotide ribosomal RNA is filed under the name uncultured bacterium. Its description in RNAcentral is "partial 16S ribosomal RNA". It matches the Rfam family "Bacterial small subunit ribosomal RNA", at positions 28 to 507 of the family's 1533-position model. The record is from RNAcentral.